CGUACACUCCUGCGGGAGGCAGCAGUGGGGAAUAUUGCACAAUGGGCGCAAGCCUGAUGCAGCCAUGCCGCGUGUAUGAAGAAGGCCUUCGGGUUGUAAAGUACUUUCAGCGGGGAGGAAGGCGAUAAGGUUAAUAACCUUGUUGAUUGACGUUACCCGCAGAAGAAGCACCGGCUAACUCCGUGCCAGCAGCCGCGGUAAUACGGAGGGUGCAAGCGUUAAUCGGAAUUACUGGGCGUAAAGCGCACGCAGGCGGUCUGUCAAGUCGGAUGUGAAAUCCCCGGGCUCAACCUGGGAACUGCAUUCGAAACUGGCAGGCUAGAGUCUUGUAGAGGGGGGUAGAAUUCCAGGUGUAGCGGUGAAAUGCGUAGAGAUCUGGAGGAAUACCGGUGGCGAAGGCGGCCCCCUGGACAAAGACUGACGCUCAGGUGCGAAAGCGUGGGGAGCAAACAGGAUUAGAAACCCUAGUAGUCCC
This 475-nucleotide ribosomal RNA is filed under the name uncultured organism. Its description in RNAcentral is "partial 16S ribosomal RNA". It matches the Rfam family "Bacterial small subunit ribosomal RNA", at positions 330 to 797 of the family's 1533-position model. The record is from RNAcentral.